CAGUCGCCACGGGAAUACGAGGGGGGCUAGCGUUGCUCGGAAUGACUGGGCGUAAAGGGCGCGUAGGCGGCGGCCAAAGUCAGGCGUGAAAUUCCCGGGCUCAACCUGGGGGCUGCGUUUGAUACUUGGUUGCUUGAGUGGGGAAGAGGGUCGUGGAAUUCCCAGUGUAGAGGUGAAAUUCGUAGAUAUUGGGAAGAACACCGGUGGCGAAGGCGGCGACCUGGUCCUUUACUGACGCUGAGGCGCGAAAGCGUGGGGAGCAAACAGGAUUAGAUACCCCUGUAGUCCCUGUCUCUUAUAC
RNAcentral lists this ribosomal RNA (301 nucleotides) under uncultured bacterium. RNAcentral's name for it is "partial 16S ribosomal RNA". It matches the Rfam family "Bacterial small subunit ribosomal RNA", at positions 509 to 807 of the family's 1533-position model. The record is from RNAcentral.